GGUAACGGCUCACCAUGGCAAUGAUACGUAGCCGACCUGAGAGGGUAAUCGGCCACAUUGGGACUGAGACACGGCCCAAACUCCUACGGGAGGCAGCAGUAGGGAAUCUUCCACAAUGGACGAAAGUCUGAUGGAGCAACGCCGCGUGAGUGAAGAAGGGUUUCGGCUCGUAAAACUCUGUUGUUAAAGAAGAACAUAUCUGAGAGUAACUGUUCAGGUAUUGACGGUAUUUAACCAGAAAGCCACGGCUAACUACGUGCCAGCAGCCGCGGUAAUACGUAGGUGGCAAGCGUUGUCCGGAUUUAUUGGGCGUAAAGCGAGCGCAGGCGGUUUUUUAAGUCUGAUGUGAAAGCCUUCGGCUCAACCGAAGAAGUGCAUCGGAAACUGGGAAACUUGAGUGCAGAAGAGGACAGUGGAACUCCAUGUGUAGCGGUGAAAUGCGUAGAUAUAUGGAAGAACACCAGUGGCGAAGGCGGCUGUCUGGUCUGUAACUGACGCUGAGGCUCGAAAGUAUGGGUAGCAAACAGGAUUAGAUACCCUGGUAGUCCAUACCGUAAACGAUGAAUGCUAAGUGUUGGAGGGUUUCCGCCCUUCAGUGCUGCAGCUAACGCAUUAAGCAUUCCGCCUGGGGAGUACGGCCGCAAGGCUGAAACUCAAAGGAAUUGACGGGGGCCCGCACAAGCGGUGGAGCAUGUGGUUUAAUUCGAAGCUACGCGAAGAACCUUACCAGGUCUUGACAUACUAUGCAAAUCUAAGAGAUUAGACGUUCCCUUC
This 774-nucleotide ribosomal RNA is filed under the name Lactiplantibacillus plantarum. RNAcentral describes it as "bacterial SSU rRNA". It matches the Rfam family "Bacterial small subunit ribosomal RNA", at positions 256 to 1021 of the family's 1533-position model. The record is from RNAcentral. Lineage: Bacteria; Bacillati; Bacillota; Bacilli; Lactobacillales; Lactobacillaceae.